AAACAUAGCCUUCAGCAAACCAAGUAUUGAAGGUAACGCCUGCCCAGUGAAACUUAAACGGCCGCGGUAUCCUAACCGUGCAAAGGUAGCGUAAUCACUUGUCUUAUAAAUAAGGACCUGUAUGAAUGGCUAAAUGAGUAUUUAACUGUCUUUUUUAACUGAUCAGUGAAACUGAUCUUUCAGUACAAAAGCCUGAAAUUAAAACAUGGGACGAGAAGACCCUGUGGAGCUUUUAAAUUUUUAACCAUUUACACUAAUAUAGUUUUGUGUUUUAUGGUAAAAAAUUUUUAAGUUUGGGGCGACUUUUGGAGUAAAACAGAACCUCCAAGAACACAGCACUGCCUUAAACCUUGGCCUACUAGCCUAACACAUAGACCCAGUAUUACUGAUCAACGAACCAAGUUACCCCAGGGAUAACAGCGCCAUCUUCUUCAAGAGUUCAUAUCGACAAGAAGGUUUACGACCUCGAUGUUGGAUCAGGACACCCAAAUGGUGCAGCCGCUAUUAAAGGUUCGUUUGUUCAACGAUUAAUAGUCCUACGU
Molecule: ribosomal RNA, 542 nt
Filed under: Anolis boulengerianus (Tehuantepec anole)
Lineage: Eukaryota; Metazoa; Chordata; Lepidosauria; Squamata; Anolidae
Description: partial 16S ribosomal RNA
Rfam family: Bacterial large subunit ribosomal RNA
Source: RNAcentral